GGGGAUGUUAUUUGGAAAGGUAUGUUUUAUUCAGAAGCCUUUCGGCUAUUCAAAAUAUGCAUGACCCACACCUUUACAUCAUGGGGCAGACAAAUGUUUCAUGUGCAACAUCUUCAAAAACAUGUUCCACACCUUUUUCUUUUUCCAUAAAUAAUAGUAUAAAUGCCAUUUCAAUGACACAUUCAAUGUUUCCUGGUCUGACCAGAAGAGGGCAGGAUUGCACGACUAAAAUGUUCCCCCCAAAGCAUUACAGAACUCCUGGUUGGAGUAUUCCGGCAUCCCUGCACAUUUCUUCUUGAUUCUAGGAAUAGGCCAACCAGGUUCUCUAGAAAAAAACUUUGAGACAAAUGGUGCUUGUAUUUUGGAACUGCAGAUAGUAAUGACAUGGUGGAAUAAUGUAGCACAAAACCAGUCUGCAUCUGCAGUCGGAUGGGUGGACCGUUAGGUGCAUAAAACAGCUAAGGGUCUACACUACAUUAUCUAGUGGGUUGUUUGAACGCUGAUUAGCUGAAAGACAUGUUAUGAGACCAUAAACUACAGGUACACCAAAAAGUGUACUUUUUACUGUUCUAAUUAUGUUGGUAACCAGUUUAUAAUCAAACAAUAAAGCCCCUCUACGGUUUGUAGUACAUGACCAAUUUACCUCACCAGAGGGCAGUAUAGGGUAUAGAUGUGGUAUAUCGGCCAUAUAGAACACAGCAUUGGGCGUUAUUGCUCAACUGUAAACGUCAUAAUAGCAAUAAGGCAGCUCAGGGGAUUUUGGUAUAGGGCCAGUAUACAGUACACAACUAAGGAUAUUCUCCAGGCACUCUUAUGUCAUCCAUAAGAACAGUUCUUAGCCACUGUAUACUGGCCAUAAAUCACAAUCCUAAAGCCUUAUUGCUAAAUAAUUUCACUUGAGUAAAUCACAAGUACUUACUCGGGCCAUGUAUCAAGUUACAGUUGUAGAGGAAAAAUGUCACGUUGAAGUCAAAAUCCAAUUACAUUGACUUGCAUGACACAGAAUCUUAAGCUAAAUGAAUACAGUACCAGGUUCUGAAAGGACAUUCUGAGAAGCCAAAGUAUCCAUGAUUUAAAAUGCUGCAAGAGAGAUCUCUUAUUACUCUGUAAACAUGUAAUCCACCAAAAGAUCCAUGACAAUAUUCAGAAAACAGCUGUCUGUAAUGACAAUAACAUCAAUAAAUAAGAUGACAAAGGUACUCAGUCCCAGCCAAUAUCUAUCAAAAUCCCCAAGUCAAACUUAGUCCUACAACCCACCCAUAACCACCAACAUCACUGAAAAGUAAAUAAAAUAAAAAUCGGGUACCCAGCCCCUCUUUAAAAUAUCUAGGUUAAAAACCUGCAUAUCAUCUGCUUUUUAGAAAAGCUGUCAGUUUAUUCAGUAACCGUCACCCCACCAUAGAAUCUGCAAUUGUUUAAAUGGAUUACGUCAAAUACAGUAUAAAGAAAUCACGCCCUCUACUGUCCAAGCAAUUGCCAGCAUACGUGACACCAAAAACCAAACCCGUUGUGGGUUAAGAUCACAUUCUCCAUUAGUUCAAAUUAAGUGACAACAAUAGAAGUAGUUGCCUCCUGUUGUAACCAGUAUGCAGCCAAAUGACUGUUAUCCAAUCCACAUUGCACCAUGGAGCCAUUUAGAAUAGAAAUAAUCUAUGCACCUUCACUGAAAGAACCAAGACACUAAUAGUCUAAUCCCUGCUUAUAUCGACAAACCUACUCCCGUUCACUAGGUACAACACUUAAUUGAAGUAGCAGCCUAUCAACAGGAAUAAGAAGCAGUAACAGCAGAGGUCAUGAAGUUAGUGGCAAAUAUUUCCUAAAGACAAGUCAAAACUAC
Molecule: long non-coding RNA, 1837 nt
Organism: Esox lucius (northern pike)
Lineage: Eukaryota; Metazoa; Chordata; Actinopteri; Esociformes; Esocidae
Source: Ensembl